GUGGGGAAUAUUGCACAAUGGGGGGAACCCUGAUGCAGCGACGCCGCGUGAGCGAAGAAGGUUUUCGAAUCGUAAAGCUCUGUCCUAUGAGAAGAUAAUGACGGUAUCAUAGGAGGAAGCCCCGGCUAAAUACGUGCCAGCAGCCGCGGUAAUACGUAUGGGGCGAGCGUUGUCCGGAAUUAUUGGGCGUAAAGGGUACGUAGGCGGUUUAUUAAGUCAGGUGUGAAAGCGUGAGGCUUAACCUCAUUAAGCACUUGAAACUGAUAGACUUGAGUGAAGGAGAGGAAAGUGGAAUUCCUAGUGUAGCGGUGAAAUGCGUAGAUAUUAGGAGGAAUACCGGUGGCGAAGGCGACUUUCUGGACUUUUACUGACGCUCAGGUACGAAAGCGUGGGGAGCAAACAGGAUUAGAAACCCUAGUAGUCC
This 424-nucleotide ribosomal RNA is filed under the name uncultured bacterium. RNAcentral's name for it is "bacterial SSU rRNA". It matches the Rfam family "Bacterial small subunit ribosomal RNA", at positions 354 to 796 of the family's 1533-position model. The record is from RNAcentral.